Molecule: long non-coding RNA, 642 nt
Filed under: Marmota monax (woodchuck)
Lineage: Eukaryota; Metazoa; Chordata; Mammalia; Rodentia; Sciuridae
Source: RNAcentral
UCUAGACAACUGGGAUAUUCUAUGUUGCUCAUUUCAAGGGGAUAUUGAUAAUCAUUACCCUUCCCAUCCAUUACUCCAUUUUGUUAAAGAACAUCCCAUCAUUUUCCCUAAGGUAACUUCACCCAAUCCAAUUCUGGGGGCUGUUAAUAUUUUUACUGAUGGUUCCAAGUCUGGAAUGGGAGCUUAUGUAAUUAAUGAUUCUCCCCCUGUUCAGCAUCAAUUUGCUCCUGGAAAUCCACAAUGGGUGGAACUGCAAAUUGUUAUUGAGGUUUUUAAACAGUGUUCUUUUCCUUUUAAUCUUAUUUCGGACUCCAUCUAUGUGGUACAAGCACUAAAAGUCCUGGAGGCCUUGGGAGCUAUUAGUAAUGCCCAUAAUGUAUCUGCUUACUUUAAUCAGCUUCAACAGCUUAUCUGUAGCUGCACUGCUCCUUUUUAUCCAAUGCACAUCCGGGCUCACACCUCUCUUCCUGGUCCGUUAUCACAGGGUAAUGCCUGUGCGGACUCAGCCACUAGAGGUCAAUUGAUAUCUUGGCUUCCUCCUUAGAGGGGGCUAAAUUGUUUCACCAGAAUUUCCAUGUUAAUGCUUUAACGCUGCGCAGGCGUUUUUCCAUUUCAAGAGUGGAUGCUCGUCAGAUAGUAUUA